Molecule: non-coding RNA, 22 nt
Filed under: Arabidopsis thaliana (thale cress)
Lineage: Eukaryota; Viridiplantae; Streptophyta; Magnoliopsida; Brassicales; Brassicaceae
Source: RNAcentral
UAGAUGUCGCGGUUCGGUUCGG